UUUAGCCAACUGCGGGUGACCCAUCCGUCCUGCUUUAGGAGGAUUGGGCCCAGGGAUGCCGGCGCAAAGCUGACUUGGUCUACUCUUCCCGAUUUAACGGACCGAUCGCUUCUGGAGAUUGUGGGAACCAGGCCUCGAAGCCGGAGCCGGGGAAGGGCGACUCCCGGAACACAGGCGGCGGGGGCGGCCGAAGGCAGUAGAGGGAAGCGGGGAGAGGCAAGGAGGAAAGAGGAGCAACGUUUGAAUCGACUGGGGAAAAGGCGACUAGCGAUUCAGGCGUUUCUCCGAGUCCCCGGCUUCUCCCUCCCCUGGUCGAGCAGAAGAUAGAAUAAAAGGAACUUGUCUGAAUGUUGGCGGAGCCGGCAGAGCUGGGAAUCUGGGCCAAAUGUUUUAAAGGUCCCGUCCACACCCAGGAGACAUCUGUGUCUUGGUGCCCAGCGGAGAAUGAAGACAAAGUUUUCCACAUCGUACUAGGGAAAUGAAGAAGUGAAGAUUAUCGACUCCUGUCCAACUCGCCUCUGUGAAAAUCGUCCCUGAGGACUCCCGAGCUUUGCUCGUUUUAUGAGUUCCAUCAAAAUCUAGUCAGGAGUUUGGUCAUUUGCAGUCUCCAAUAGGAUUUGACUGUCCUAACCAACUCCAAGGCUUCGGUGGUUUUCAGAUCCAUCAGAAUCUGGUUUACGUUUUAGCCCGGACAAAUUUUAUCAUUGCAUAAAUAAUUUCUCUCUGCAGCAGGCAGCUUGGGAAAUCGUCACCAUGCGAAAAGACUUUCAGCCAUGAUUAGGUCAAUAGGUGUCCGUCUGAGUAAUUGAAUCUGGAGCAUUUUUCAUUUUAUUUUACGAGAUGAGAUCUGAGGAAUUUAGGGAGCAUUUGUUUGUAAAAAUCCCAUCAGAUAAAAAGUUAAUCGCUA
Long non-coding RNA from Ornithorhynchus anatinus (platypus), 907 nucleotides. RefSeq lists it as uncharacterized. NCBI's taxonomy places the organism in Eukaryota, Metazoa, Chordata, Mammalia, Monotremata, Ornithorhynchidae. The record is from RefSeq and is a predicted model, not a curated record. The transcript is spliced from 2 exons.